UACAGAGGUCUCAAGCGUUGUUCGGAUUCAUUGGGCGUAAAGGGUGCGUAGGCGGCGCGGUAAGUCGGGUGUGAAAUCUCGGAGCUUAACUCCGAAACUGCAUUCGAUACUGCCGUGCUUGAGGACUGGAGAGGAGACUGGAAUUUACGGUGUAGCGGUGAAAUGCGUAGAUAUCGUAAGGAAGACCAGUGGCGAAGGCGGGGUCUCUGGACAGUUCCUGACGCUGAGGCACGAAGGUCAGGGGAGCGAAACGGG
This 255-nucleotide ribosomal RNA is filed under the name uncultured bacterium. RNAcentral's name for it is "partial 16S ribosomal RNA". It matches the Rfam family "Bacterial small subunit ribosomal RNA", at positions 524 to 777 of the family's 1533-position model. The record is from RNAcentral.